This 117-nucleotide non-coding RNA is filed under the name Acidaminococcus sp. CAG:917. Its description in RNAcentral is "Molybdenum/Tungsten riboswitch aptamer (Moco RNA motif)". It matches the Rfam family "Molybdenum/Tungsten riboswitch aptamer (Moco RNA motif)". RNAcentral also lists the same sequence under 1 other name. Lineage: Bacteria; Bacillati; Bacillota; Negativicutes; Acidaminococcales; Acidaminococcaceae. The record is from Rfam by way of RNAcentral.
UUCAGCUGCGUCCUCCGAGUCUUUAUAUCCUAAGGCGUCCGCUACGGAUUAAAGACCGGGGUUGUAUUGGAAACGAUACAGCCUCCCAUUGCGGAAAGGAGAACUUUUAUGAAACGG